RNAcentral lists this ribosomal RNA (453 nucleotides) under uncultured bacterium. RNAcentral's name for it is "partial 16S ribosomal RNA". It matches the Rfam family "Bacterial small subunit ribosomal RNA", at positions 29 to 507 of the family's 1533-position model. The record is from RNAcentral.
AACGAACGCUGGCGGCAUGCCUAACACAUGCAAGUCGAACGAGUUCUUCGGGUCUAGUGGCGCACGGGUGCGUAACGCGUGGGAACCUGCCCUUAGGCUCGGAAUAAACCCCCGAAAGGGGUGCUAAUACCGGCUAAUGUCUUCGGCCCAAAGCUUUAUCGCCCUUGGUUGGGCCGGCGUUGGAUUAGCUAGUUGGUAGGGUAAAAGCCUACCAAGGCGACGAUCCGUAGCUGGACUGAGAGGAUGUUCAGCCACACUGGGACUGAGAUACGGCCCCGACUCAUAAGGGAGGAAGGAGUAGGGAAUCUUCGGAAAUGGGCGAAAGCGUGAACGAGCAACGCCGCGUGAGUGAGGAAGGCCGUCGGGUUGUAAAACUCUGUUGUGUGGGAAGAAGGGAAAGGGUAGGACCCUUGGGUGACGGUACCAAACGAGAAAGCCCCGGCUAACUACGUG